AGUACCCGCUGAACUUAAGCAUAUCAAUAAGCGGAGGAAAAGAAACCAACCGGGAUUGCCUUAGUAACGGCGAGUGAAGCGGCAAAAGCUCAAAUUUGAAAUCUGGCUACCUCGACGUCCGAGUUGUAAUUUGAAGAAGGCCGACUUUGUAGCUGGUCCUUGUCUAUGUUCCUUGGAACAGGACGUCAUAGAGGGUGAGAAUCCCGUGUGGCGAGGAUCCCAGUUAUUUGUAAAGUGCUUUCGACGAAGUCGAGUUGUUUGGGAAUGCAGCUCUAAGUGGGUGGUAAAUUCCAUCUAAAGCUAAAUAUUGGCGAGAGACCGAUAGCGAACAAGUACAGUGAUGGAAAGAUGAAAAGAACUUUGAAAAGAGAGUG
Molecule: ribosomal RNA, 374 nt
Filed under: Kluyveromyces marxianus
Lineage: Eukaryota; Fungi; Ascomycota; Saccharomycetes; Saccharomycetales; Saccharomycetaceae
Description: eukaryotic LSU rRNA
Rfam family: Eukaryotic large subunit ribosomal RNA
Source: RNAcentral